CCUACGGGGGGUUGCAGUGGGGAAUAUUGGACAAUGGGGGCAACCCUGAUCCAGCCAUGCCGCGUGUGUGAAGAAGGCCCUCGGGUUGUAAAGCACUUUCAGUGAGGAAGAACGCCUGGUGGUUAAUACCCAUCAGGAAAGACAUCACUCACAGAAGAAGCACCGGCUAACUCCGUGCCAGCAGCCGCGGUAAUACGGAGGGUGCGAGCGUUAAUCGGAAUUACUUGGCGUAAAGCGCGCGUAGGUGGCUUGAUAAGCCGGUUGUGAAAGCCCCGGGCUCAACCUGGGAACGGCAUCCGGAACUGUCAAGCUAGAGUGCAGGAGAGGAAGGUAGAAUUCCCGGUGUAGCGGUGAAAUGCGUAGAGAUCGGGAGGAAUACCAGUGGCGAAGGCGGCCUUCUGGACUGACACUGACACUGAGGUGCGAAAGCGUGGGUAGCAAACAGGAUUAGAUACCCUUGUAGUC
Molecule: ribosomal RNA, 465 nt
Filed under: Vreelandella stevensii
Lineage: Bacteria; Pseudomonadati; Pseudomonadota; Gammaproteobacteria; Oceanospirillales; Halomonadaceae
Description: partial 16S ribosomal RNA
Rfam family: Bacterial small subunit ribosomal RNA
Source: RNAcentral